Molecule: ribosomal RNA, 649 nt
Filed under: Bacillus sp. EECC-577
Lineage: Bacteria; Bacillati; Bacillota; Bacilli; Caryophanales; Bacillaceae
Description: bacterial SSU rRNA
Rfam family: Bacterial small subunit ribosomal RNA
Source: RNAcentral
GGCAACCUGCCUGUAAGACUGGGAUAACUCCGGGAAACCGGGGCUAAUACCGGAUAACCCGUUCCACCUCAUGGUGGAGCGGUAAAAGAUGGCCUCUGGCUAUCACUUACAGAUGGGCCCGCGGCGCAUUAGCUAGUUGGUAAGGUAACGGCUUACCAAGGCGACGAUGCGUAGCCGACCUGAGAGGGUGAUCGGCCACACUGGGACUGAGACACGGCCCAGACUCCUACGGGAGGCAGCAGUAGGGAAUCUUCCGCAAUGGACGAAAGUCUGACGGAGCAACGCCGCGUGAGUGAUGAAGGUUUUCGGAUCGUAAAGCUCUGUUGUUAGGGAAGAACAAGUGCCGUUUGAAUAAGGCGGCACCUUGACGGUACCUAACCAGAAAGCCACGGCUAACUACGUGCCAGCAGCCGCGGUAAUACGUAGGUGGCAAGCGUUGUCCGGAAUUAUUGGGCGUAAAGCGCGCGCAGGCGGUCUCUUAAGUCUGAUGUGAAAGCCCACGGCUCAACCGUGGAGGGUCAUUGGAAACUGGGAGACUUGAGUACAGAAGAGGAGAGUGGAAUUCCACGUGUAGCGGUGAAAUGCGUAGAUAUGUGGAGGAACACCAGUGGCGAAGGCGACUCUCUGGUCUGUAACUGACGCUGAGGCG